Molecule: long non-coding RNA, 671 nt
Organism: Maniola jurtina (meadow brown)
Lineage: Eukaryota; Metazoa; Arthropoda; Insecta; Lepidoptera; Nymphalidae
Exons: 2
Source: RefSeq, a predicted model, not a curated record
GUUGUGAAUAAAAAAUAAUUAAAUAAAACAUAUAUAAGGAUUUAAAAAUAAACAAAUCUGAUGGUUUUCCAACACGGGAACAGGCAACAUACAAUUGACCAUGUGAGAAACAUGGGUUUUCUAGAUUAAUACCACAAACACUUAAUGAUUGCCCCUGGGACUUGUUUAUAGUCAUAGCAAAAGCAAGCCGCACUGGAAACUGUAGUCGUUUAAACUCAAAUGGCACAUCAGUCGGAAUCAUUGGGAUGCGCGGUAUGAGAACAUCUUCUCCUUUAUACUUUCCUUUGAGUAUAGUUGCUUCUAUCACAUUGUUUAGUAAUUUUUUUAUCGCUAACCGUGUACCGUUGCAAAGACGCGGUUGGUUGAUAUUUCGCAACAUUAUAACCACCGAUCCAACCUUUAAUUGAAGAUUGUGAGGUGGCAAUCCUGGCAAAUCCAGCGAGUUUAAAAAUUCCGGUGGAUAGUUGACUACAUCAUCUUGAUUAGUAGCCGAAUCAACUGAUUUAUAUAUCCUCAAUUCGCCUGUAAUUUGUUCUUGAAUUUUGAAAUUUAAUUCAUUUACAUCUAUGUUUUUUGCAGCCAGUAUAGCUCGUUCGCUCAACCAAUCAUGGUUUCUGUAAUUUUGAGAAACAUCUGGAAACACCUUCUGAAUAAGUUCAUCUUUUGAUCGA